Molecule: ribosomal RNA, 443 nt
Filed under: uncultured bacterium
Lineage: Bacteria
Description: partial 16S ribosomal RNA
Rfam family: Bacterial small subunit ribosomal RNA
Source: RNAcentral
CCUACGGGUGGCAGCAGUGGGGAAUAUUGGGCAAUGGGCGCAAGCCUGACCCAGCAACGCCGCGUGAAGGAAGAAGGCUCUCCGGUUGUAAACUUCUUUUCUCAGGGACGAAGAAAGUGACGGUACCUGAGGAAUAAGCCUCGGCUAACUACGGGCCAGCAGCCGCGGUAAUACGUAGGGGGCAGUCGUUAUCCGGAUUCAGUGGGUGUAAAGGGCGAGUGGGCGGGAGCGGAAGUCAGAUGGGAAAACUCAGGGCUCAACCCUGAGCCUGCAUUUGAAACGGUGUUUCUUGAGUGCUGGAGAGGCAAGCGGAAUGCCGUGUGUAGCGGUGAAAUGCGUAGAUAUCCGGAGGAACACCAGUGGCGAAGGCGGAUUGCUGGACAGUAACUGACGCUGAAGCGCGAAAGCGUGGGGAGCAAACAGGAUUAGAUACCCUGGUAGUC